GGAGAUUUUGAGGGAUGUGCAGCUCAGCUGAGCCCUGGGGCCUGUCUGGUGUGUUUUCCUGCAGGUGGACGAGCUGUGUGCCCCUGGGCAGGUGAGGCUGGCGGCCACGCGCCGCUGCGCCGCCCCCGAGCGCCACGACUGCGCCGCCGCCUGCGGCCCCGCGGGAGGGCAGCUCCACACACAGCUGGGCAUAUGUCACUGCAGGCAGUACAUCUCUGCUGAGGAGCUCUGUGACCAGCUGUGCCUGCUGAGAGCCCCACGCAUCUCCCUGGGCUUUGGCACCCACAGAGAGCUGCUGCUGAGGGUCAACCAGGGGCAAGUGAGGGAGGUGUCCAACGUUCUGGGCCCAGAUGAGCACGUGCAGAGCAGCCAGAGGGUGCAUUUGGUGCUCUUCAGUCCCCAGGGAGUGCUGG
Molecule: long non-coding RNA, 413 nt
Organism: Ficedula albicollis (Collared flycatcher)
Lineage: Eukaryota; Metazoa; Chordata; Aves; Passeriformes; Muscicapidae
Exons: 3
Source: RefSeq, a predicted model, not a curated record